AACGCACAUUGCGCCCUCUGGUAUUCCGGGGGGCAUGCCUGUUCGAGCGUCAUUAUAACCACUCAAGCUCUCGCUUGGUAUUGGGGUUCGCGUCUUCGCGGCCUCUAAAAUCAGUGGCGGUGCCUGUCGGCUCUACGCGUAGUAAUACUCCUCGCGAUUGAGUCCGGUAGGUUUACUUGCCAACAACCCCCAAUUUUUUACAGGUUGACCUCGGAUCAGGUAGGGAUACCCGCUGAACUUAA
RNAcentral lists this unclassified non-coding RNA (242 nucleotides) under uncultured Dermateaceae. Its description in RNAcentral is "sequence contains ITS2". The stretch from base 1 to 52 matches the Rfam family "5.8S ribosomal RNA", at positions 103 to 154 of the family's 154-position model. The record is from RNAcentral. Lineage: Eukaryota; Fungi; Ascomycota; Leotiomycetes; Helotiales; Dermateaceae.